CAAAGAUUAAGCCAUGCAUGUCUAAGUUCAGACCUUCCUUAGUGUGAAACCGCAAACGGCUCAUUAAAUCAGUCAUAAUCUAAUGGAUGACGGACAAGGUUCGGAUAACCGUGGCAAUUCUAGAGCUAAUACGUGCAACAGAGCUCCGACGCCCCCUUGAGCUCGGGAGACAAUCUCGACUUGAGGUGCGGUGGAAGGGCGCAAUUAUUAGGUUCCAUAAACCGAGCAGGCUCACGGGCCUGAAGCCGGUUGUGGUGACUCUGGAUAAAAACGCUUAUCGAUGAGGCCUCCGCGCCGUCGAUACAUCCUUUGAGAGACUGCCUUAUCAGCUUAUCCGUUGGGUAAACGCCCACGAUGGCUGUAACGGGUAACGGGGAAUCUGGGUUCGAUUCCGGAGAGGGAGCCUGAGAAACGGCUACCACAUCUAAGGAAGGCAGCAGGCACGCAAAUUACCCACUCCCGGCACGGGGAGGUAGUGACGAUAAAUAACGAUGCGGGACUCUUCCGAGGCCUCGCAAUCGGAAUGAGUUUACCCUAAAUCCUUAAGCGAGGAUCGAUUGGAGGGCAAGUCUGGUGCCAGCAGCCGCGGUAAUUCCAGCUCCAAUAGCGUAUAUUAAAGUUGCUGCGGUUAAAAAGCUCGUAGUUGGACUUUAGGUCCGUACCGGGGGCCCACCCAAAGCGAGGCCUCGGCGAGGUUUCGCUACUAAGCGAGAGGAGGUCCGUUGCGACUGCCGAAAGCAGAAUAGCGCGAUCGGGUGAAGGAGUGAGUGGAGGUUAAACGGUCUACAAGCGAGAUUGCAGUUACUACCACGCGUAGGCUGCGUCUCCUUUAGGCAGACCCUCCAUGAGCGUACUGAUACCCAUCCGCAUUUUGCCUUCCUUCGCGACUCCUCCUUCUCGUGGCGGUCUCGAUGUCGAGUAACCUCGCCUAGGUGGUUAAAUCCCCCGGCUACGGGUUUAUAGAAAUGACCGUUGGCGCUCACGGGAUGCUCUUUACCGAGUGUCCCGCGUGGCCGAUGACGUUCACUUUGAAAAAAUUAGAGUGCUCAAAGCAGGCAAAAAUGAAUGCCUGAAUGUCUAUGCAUGGAAUGAUGGAACAAGACCUCGGUUUUGAUAUAUAUUUUUUCUCUCGGUUUUCCCCGAACCAGAGGUAAUGAUUAACGGGAACGGACGGGGGCAUUAGUAUUGCGGCGCGAGAGGUGAAAUUCUUGGACCGUCGCAAGACUAACUACUGCGAAAGCAUUUGCCAAGAACGCUUUCAUUAAUCAAGAACGAAAGUUAGAGGAUCGAAGGCGAUCAGAUACCGCCCUAGUUCUAACCUUAAACGAUGCUAACUAGCGAUCCGCUUAUGUCAUACCCACGACUGAGCGGGAAGCCCCCGGGAAACCAAAGUUUUUGAGUUCCGGGGGUAGUAUGGUUGCAAAGCUGAAACUUAAAGGAAUUGACGGAAGGGCACCACCAGGAGUGGAGCCUGCGGCUUAAUUUGACUCAACACGGGAAAACUCACCGGGCCCAGACACCGGAAGGAUUGACAGAAUGAGAGCUCUUUCUCGAUUCGGUGGUUGGUGGUGCAUGGCCGUUCUUAGUUGGUGGAGCGAUCUGUCUGGUUAAUUCCGAUAACGAACGAGACUCUACCCUACUAACUAGUCGGUGAAUCGUUUCCCUCGUCGAGAUCUCUCCCGCGUGAACGCCGUACGACUCGAGAAGAAACGCAUUCGACGUGCCGUCUUUCUCGCCUCUCGCAGGUGACGGAAGUAGCGGGCGCUCGUUGCGUUGAUAUCUCGGUCGGAAAGCCUUCUAUAUUGCGGGGAGCUCGGUGAGGGGCGUUUAUUCAGUCUUCUUAGAGGGAUCAACGGUUUCUAGCCGUACGAGAGAGAGCAAUAACAGGUCUGUGAUGCCCUUAGAUGUUCUGGGCCGCACGCGCGCUACAAUGCAGGGUGCAGCGUGUUAGCCCCCCUCCGAAAGGAGGGGGUAACCGGAGAAACCCCUUCCCGAUUGGGAUUGGGGAUUGUAAGUGUUUCCCAUGAACGAGGAAUUCCUAGUAAGCGCAGAUCAUGAGUCUGCGAUGAUUAAGUCCCUGCCCUUUGUACACACCGCCCGUCGCUACUACCGAUUGAAUGAUUCAGUGAGGGUGUCGGACUGGCGCCUUCGGCUGCCCACUGCAAAUUAGUCACGAACCCCUUUCGGG
This 2188-nucleotide ribosomal RNA is filed under the name Pseudocerceis sp. RW03.151. RNAcentral's name for it is "bacterial SSU rRNA". It matches the Rfam family "Eukaryotic small subunit ribosomal RNA". Lineage: Eukaryota; Metazoa; Arthropoda; Malacostraca; Isopoda; Sphaeromatidae. The record is from RNAcentral.